This is an RNA transcript of Sapajus apella (tufted capuchin), 482 nucleotides long. It is a transcript of the gene named protein S100-A10 pseudogene, with no coding region annotated. The transcript has a single exon. The record is from RefSeq and is a predicted model, not a curated record. Lineage: Eukaryota; Metazoa; Chordata; Mammalia; Primates; Cebidae.
CGUGCCUUGGCCAAGUCUUCAAGAGACCACACCAAAAUGCCAUCUCAAAUGGAACAUGCCAUGGAAACCAUGAUGUUUACAUUUCACAAAUUUGCUGGGGAUAAAGGCUACUUAACAAAGGAGGACCUGAGAGUACUCAUGGAAAAGCAGUUCCCUGGAUUUUUGGAAAAUCAAAAAGACCCUCUGGCCGUGGACAAAAUAAUGAAGGAUCUGGACCAGUGCAGAGAUGACAAAGUGGGCUUCCAGAGCUUCUUUUCCCUAAUUGCGGGCCCCACCAUUGCAUUCAAUGACUAUUUUGUAGUACACAUGAAGCAGAAGGGAAAGAAGUAGGCAGAAACGAGCAAUUCCCCCGGCCCUGAUAACAGUUGUCCCAAAGGGUCACUUAAGGAAUCUGACCCACAGCUUUCCCCAUAUAAGGAUUUCAUGAGCAGAUUAGGACCCUUAGCAAGUGUACAAAUAAAAUCUAAUUCCCAUUUGACGAG